GACGAACGCUGGCGGCGUGCUUAACACAUGCAAGUCGAACGGAAAGGCCCUGCUUUUGUGGGGUGCUCGAGUGGCGAACGGGUGAGUAACACGUGAGUAACCUGCCCUUGACUUUGGGAUAACUUCAGGAAACUGGGGCUAAUACCGGAUAGGAGCUCCUGCUGCAUGGGGGGGGUUGGAAAGUUUCGGCGGUUGGGGAUGGACCCGCGGCUUAUCAGCUUGUUGGUGGGGUAGUGGCUUACCAAGGCUUUGACGGGUAGCCGGCCUGAGAGGGUGACCGGCCACAUUGGGACUGAGAUACGGCCCAGACUCCUACGGGAGGCAGCAGUGGGGAAUAUUGCACAAUGGGCGGAAGCCUGAUGCAGCAACGCCGCGUGCGGGAUGACGGCCUUCGGGUUGUAAACCGCUUUCGCCUGUGACGAAGCGUGAGUGACGGUAAUGGGUAAAGAAGCACCGGCUAACUACGUG
RNAcentral lists this ribosomal RNA (468 nucleotides) under uncultured bacterium. RNAcentral describes it as "partial 16S ribosomal RNA". It matches the Rfam family "Bacterial small subunit ribosomal RNA", at positions 28 to 507 of the family's 1533-position model. The record is from RNAcentral.